AGAAAUGUUGGGAUACGUUUCAGUGGAGGAGAUGUGAAUAGACCUUUCAAACACAUUUAGAAGACUGACCUGGUACUAUAUAUUUUUUUAUCCUAUUCAAAAGAAAAACUUCUGACUGAAAUGCUGUUUGUAUUUCAUAGAAUUGUGAACCACACCUGAUUCCUGUGCCACAUUGUCCAAACACCAGUGUUUGGACAAUAUUUGAAGUUAAAGCAUCAGAUAUCAUGUCAUUCUGAUAUUAAACAAAUGGCUUAUUAAUAGAAAAAAUCAUAAUACUUGAUUUAUUGAUCAUAUAUUGCUAGUUUUUAGUAUAAUUCGAACCUGAUUUACUGAGUACAGUGUUGCAUCUUACUCAGCAGUUCAAAUCAGUCACUUCUGUUUCUUUGUCUAGAGACUCUGAGAGACUGCUGUCAUCACUAACAAGUUGACCAGAUGCAAGGCUAAACAAAAGGUUUCUACCCCAUGCUCUUCAAUGAAAGAAUAAACAGUCCAGAAAAGGAGAAUGAACUCUUGAAGAAAAGCUAUGAUAAACUGUGUAAGUGCUCAGUGAUACCCCAGAUGAGCAGGAACUUGAAUGUGAAGAUACUGAUUUUGCCGAAUCUGUUUGAAAAAAGAAGCAAAGAAAUGCCACUGAACAAGACAUUGAUGGUGAGUUUUAGAGACCACUUUCUUGUAAACUUUUAUAGCUUAAAAACUAUUUGUCAAAUUUCUCUUUUUUUCUACAAGAUUUACUGUGAAAGUAGUUGUUUGACAUUGUGUCAAAAAGAAAUUCUUUAA
RNAcentral lists this long non-coding RNA (777 nucleotides) under Ficedula albicollis (Collared flycatcher). RNAcentral describes it as "lncRNA (ENSFALG00000023567.1)". Lineage: Eukaryota; Metazoa; Chordata; Aves; Passeriformes; Muscicapidae. The record is from RNAcentral.